CCCUCCAUUUUGUGAUUCUCUCUCUCAGUUAGUUCUAGUUUGUUAAAGUUAACUAAUCAAAAACAUGAUUUCACAACUGAUCACUUACAAAAAGACAGCACACUACACCUCUGUACUUUAUUACAUUCUACUCAUCUUUCUUCCAUUCCUUCUAUGGCUUCUCUUCUAAUUCAACCAAUCAACUUCACUAAAAUGAAAAAGCACACAGUGAUACUAGGUCAUCUUGCUCCAGUGUUUUGUCUCAUUUGAUU
This 251-nucleotide long non-coding RNA is filed under the name Amphimedon queenslandica. Its description in RNAcentral is "uncharacterized LOC109590720, transcript variant X1". Lineage: Eukaryota; Metazoa; Porifera; Demospongiae; Haplosclerida; Niphatidae. The record is from RNAcentral.